GUCUUAUUGAUUAUUAUUUUAAGUCUAAUCUGCCCACUGAGGUUUUAAAUGGCCGCGGUAUUUUGACCGUGCAAAGGUAGCAUAAUCAUUAGUUUUUUAAUUGAAAGCUGGUAUGAAGGAUUGAAUGAGAAAAUGACUGUCUCUUUUAUAUUAAUUGAAAUUUAUUUUUAAGUAAAAAAGCUUAAAUAUUAUUUAAAGACGAGAAGACCCUAUAGAGUUUUAUUUUUAUUUUUAUAAAUUUAUUUUAGUAUUUAAUAUAAAUUUAUUAAGAUAAAAUUUGAUUGGGGUGAUUAAAAAAUUUAAUAAACUUUUUUUGUUUAAAAUCAAUAAUUUUUGUUUAUUUGAUCCAUUCUUAAUGAUUAAAAGAUAAAAUUACCUUAGGGAUAACAGCGUAAUUUUUUUUGAAAGUUCUUAUUGAAAAAAAAGUUUGCGACCUCGAUGUUGGAUUAAAAUUAAUUUUUGGUGUAGAAGCUAAGAAUAUUAAGUCUGUUCGACUUUUAAAAUUUUACA
RNAcentral lists this ribosomal RNA (510 nucleotides) under Laemophloeus fasciatus. Its description in RNAcentral is "partial 16S ribosomal RNA". The stretch from base 383 to 510 matches the Rfam family "Bacterial large subunit ribosomal RNA", at positions 2473 to 2600 of the family's 2925-position model. The record is from RNAcentral. Lineage: Eukaryota; Metazoa; Arthropoda; Insecta; Coleoptera; Laemophloeidae.